UACGUAGGGAGCAAGCGUUGUCCGGAAUCAUUGGGCGUAAAGCGCGCGUAGGCGGCCCUGUAAGUCCGUUGUGAAAGUCAAAGGCUCAACCUUUGAAAGCCGAUGGAUACUGCAGGGCUAGAGUCCGGAAGAGGCGAGUGGAAUUCCUGGUGUAGCGGUGGAGUGCGCAGAUAUCAGGAGGAACACCAAUAGCGAAGGCAGCUCGCUGGGACGGUACUGACGCUAAGGCGCGAAAGCGUGGGGAGCGAACAGG
Molecule: ribosomal RNA, 253 nt
Filed under: uncultured bacterium
Lineage: Bacteria
Description: partial 16S ribosomal RNA
Rfam family: Bacterial small subunit ribosomal RNA
Source: RNAcentral